Molecule: transfer RNA, 72 nt
Filed under: Stegodyphus mimosarum
Lineage: Eukaryota; Metazoa; Arthropoda; Arachnida; Araneae; Eresidae
Rfam family: tRNA
About the family: Transfer RNA (tRNA) molecules are approximately 80 nucleotides in length. Their secondary structure includes four short double-helical elements and three loops (D, anti-codon, and T loops).
Source: Rfam by way of RNAcentral
GCCUUCGUGGUGUAACGGUAGCACACUCGGUGAGUAUUCGAGAGGCCCAGGUUCGAAUCCCUGCCUUGGGCA